AGGAGGAGGAGGAGGGGAAGGAGGAGGAAGAGGAGGAGAGGGAGGCGUUUUCUGCCCAGACCGCCGCCAGUUCGAGCGGGCACGGGGACGGGGACACCCCACUCGUUGCUCCUCCGUUAUGGAAAGGUCACUAUCAUAUGACAAAGGCUUUGCUGCAGUUCAUCUUCCUCCCUGUGUACUUUCCAUUUGCCUUCCCGGAAUCCUGCUGCAUCACAGAAGCUGGAAAUUCU
Molecule: long non-coding RNA, 230 nt
Filed under: Lynx canadensis (Canada lynx)
Lineage: Eukaryota; Metazoa; Chordata; Mammalia; Carnivora; Felidae
Description: lncRNA (ENSLCNG00005015720.1)
Source: RNAcentral